This 202-nucleotide long non-coding RNA is filed under the name Homo sapiens (human). RNAcentral's name for it is "non-protein coding lnc-AIPL1-3:1". Lineage: Eukaryota; Metazoa; Chordata; Mammalia; Primates; Hominidae. The record is from RNAcentral.
ACUGCACAUACCACAUGCACACACAGACAGGCCCUCGGCUGAAUCCCUUUGCCUCUGGAGACCCGAUCACGUCAUGCACAGCCAUCACAUCGAGCUGUGACCUUCCCUCCUUCCUCAUGUAAAACUCGCGGUGGCGGGUGCCUGUAAUCCCAGCUACUCGGGAAGCUGAGGCAGGAGAAUCGCUUGAAUCUGGGGAGACGGA